UUAAAAAGCUCGUAGUUGGAUUUCUGGUGUGAUGCGACUGACCGGCAAUGCUUACAUUGUCUGUGUCGGUCUGCAUCUGCCAUCCUUCCAGAAAACCUUUCUACCCUUCACUGGGCCGGACUGGAGAUCUGGAACUUUUACUUUGAAAAAAUUAGAGUGUUCAAAGCAGGCUAUCGCCAUUGAAUACAUUAGCAUGGAAUAAUAAUUUAGGACUUCGGUUCUAUUUUGUUGGUUUCUAGGACUUAAGUAAUGAUUGAUAGGGAUAGUUGGGGGUGCUAGUAUUUAUCGGCCAGAGGUGAAAUUCUUGGAUUCGAUAAAGACUAACUUAUGCGAAAGCAUUCACCAAGGAUGUCUUCUUUAAUCAAGAACGAAAGUUGGGGGAUCGAAGACGAUCAGAUACCGUCGUAGUCUCAACCAUAAACUAUACCGACUAAGGAUGAGUGAACGUUGCAUCUUCGACAUCAUUCGCACUUUAUGAGAAAUCAAAGUCUUUGGGUUCCGGGGGGAGUAUGGUCGCAAGGCUGAAACUUAAAGGAAUUGACGGAAGGCACCACCAAGAGUGGAGCCUGCGGCUUAAUUUGACUCAACACGGGAAAACUUACCANGUCCAGACAUANUGAGGAUUGACAGAUUGAAAAUCUUC
This 643-nucleotide ribosomal RNA is filed under the name uncultured eukaryote. RNAcentral describes it as "SSU rRNA". It matches the Rfam family "Eukaryotic small subunit ribosomal RNA", at positions 619 to 1260 of the family's 1831-position model. The record is from RNAcentral.